This 506-nucleotide ribosomal RNA is filed under the name uncultured bacterium. RNAcentral's name for it is "partial 16S ribosomal RNA". It matches the Rfam family "Bacterial small subunit ribosomal RNA", at positions 29 to 523 of the family's 1533-position model. The record is from RNAcentral.
AGUGAACGCUGGCGGUAGGCCUAACACAUGCAAGUCGAACGGCAGCACAGGAGAGCUUGCUCUCUGGGUGGCGAGUGGCGGACGGGUGAGGAAUACAUCGGAAUCUACUCUGUCGUGGGGGAUAACGUAGGGAAACUUACGCUAAUACCGCAUACGACCUACGGGUGAAAGCAGGGGACCUUCGGGCCUUGCGCGAUUGAAUGAGCCGAUGUCGGAUUAGCUAGUUGGCGGGGUAAAGGCCCACCAAGGGGACGAUCCGUAGCUGGUCUGAGAGGAUGAUCAGCCACACUGGAACUGAGACACGGUCCAGACUCCUACGGGAGGCAGCAGUGGGGAAUAUUGGACAAUGGGCGAAAGCCUGAUCCAGCCAUACCGCGUGGGUGAAGAAGGCCUUCGGGUUGUAAAGCCCUUUUGUUGGGAAAGAAAUCCAGCUGGCUAAUACCCGGUUGGGAUGACGGUACCCAAAGAAUAAGCACCGGCUAACUUCGUGCCAGCCGCCGCAGUAA